UCCCAUCUGUGUCUGCAGGAGUCACCCUGAAGUUGACAGGAAUAUGAGUCAAAUGGCAGAUUCGCUUUGCCCCUGCGUUUUCACAGAAGGUACAAUUACAAAUGGACGAAUUUGUGGCUUAAUAUCUUUCAAGAUAAGGCUGAAGGCCUUGAUGCCUGCUUCACCCUCACCUCUAAACCCUCAGGUGUCUACUUUGUACACAGACUGGCAGUUGGAGUCCUAUUGGCUAUCCCGGAAGUCCUGCUGGACAGAACGUAAAAUGGUUCCAGGAUGGCUCCACUCUUGUUGUCUAUACCUGGUCUACAGGAAAAGCUCAGGAACUUUUUGCCCUUCCACAAAGGAGCCAGUGACCAUCGCUACCAAAGUCCAGCAGGAGAGAGGAUGAGCACCCUGGGCAGACACGGGAGGAACAAUCCAAAGUAGUCCAAAUUGUUUAAGACUUCUAUCUUAUUUUUUCAGUCA
This 462-nucleotide long non-coding RNA is filed under the name Equus caballus (horse). RNAcentral describes it as "lncRNA (ENSECAG00000053996.1)". Lineage: Eukaryota; Metazoa; Chordata; Mammalia; Perissodactyla; Equidae. The record is from RNAcentral.